Molecule: transfer RNA, 89 nt
Filed under: Streptomyces harbinensis
Lineage: Bacteria; Bacillati; Actinomycetota; Actinomycetes; Kitasatosporales; Streptomycetaceae
Description: tRNA-Ser
Source: RNAcentral
GGAAGCCAGCGGGCUCGGCGGGGUCUACGGUCUUGAAAACCGUCGUGGCAGCGAUGUCACCGUGGGUUCAAAUCCCACAGUCUCCGCCA